Molecule: long non-coding RNA, 1455 nt
Filed under: Ricinus communis (castor bean)
Lineage: Eukaryota; Viridiplantae; Streptophyta; Magnoliopsida; Malpighiales; Euphorbiaceae
Description: long non-coding RNA (RCOM_LNC003010)
Source: RNAcentral
CAAAAAGAAAUAUAAGUACCUAAUUUUAAUAAUUGGAGAACGGAAUAGAUUAUGGCGAACUUGAGGGAGGGAUUUAAAAUUAUCCCCUUUAUAAAAGAAAAUCAUCUAUUUUUUUCUAUCAGUUUUCUUUUUUCAGCUGCAUAGCCACCAUACCAUCAGUUACUGCUGACAGGGCAGAGUCAUCUGCAUUGAAAUAUAAUAAUUGUAUAUUAUAAAUUUUUUAAUUUAAAUAAGUUAGGCGCAUCAUAAUCUUAGGCUGCCCCAUUUAGAUUUAACAAAAUUGUCAGCCAUAGAUGUUGCCCCUGUCAAAUCCAUUCUUUUUUGAUUCUGUGAAUAGAAAAUCUAUAUUUACUAAUUCCUUUCGAGAAAAGAAAAGAAACUUCAAAUGAUCUUCUGCUCAAAAUUUUCAGAGCGGAGUUCAGACAUUAGUGCUUUAAACUGGUCCCUCAGUACAAGGAAAACCUCAUCAUUCGAUGUAAAGCCAAAAAGAUCUUUCCAAGCAAAUUACAGGUGUUCAAAGAUGAGAAGAUGAACAUUCCAUCAGUUGUGUUAGAAUCUACCCAAUCAUAUUCUUGUUGACAAACACUUGGCACUGGUAUUUAUGAUAUUCCCUCAUUUCUCAGACGUAUUUGGUGUGUGUAAGCCUCGUCUGAUUUACAGAUUCUUUUUUUCUCUCACUCUCUCUCUCUCUCUAGAAAUAUGGUUUUUCAUAAUGGAUUAGGUUUGUGUCUUUAUUCUAAUGGUUUACUCUUUGUUUGGAUUGAGAGAAAAUAUCAAAGGUAGAAAAUAAGAGAAAAAGGAGGAAAAUAGUUUUUUUUUUUUUUUAAUGUUUAGAAAAGAAAGAGAAAUAGUAACUCUUAUUUUUCAAUUUAUAUCUUCUCUCUAUUUUAAAAAGAAAAAUAAAAAUGAAAGUAAAAACAAAUAAAUGGAAAAUGAAGAAUGUAUUUUAUUUCAAUCCGUUCAAAUAAAUAAAAAAAAAAUUAUUUUCUCUUCUCAUUUUCUUGUUCCAGCGUGGGAGGGAAAGUGAACAGAGCUCAGGAUACAUAUCACAUUUUUUUAAUGAAGUGAUUAAAUGCCACGUGUUAUGUGAUAACAAUCAGAGGCACCGAUGAGCAGAAGUAGGUGAGUGAUUGAUUUGUUUGGCAUAUCAAUAAAAAGAGAUGUUUUGCGAUUUUGUAUAGAUAUUUUGUGAUUUGAAGAGAUAAUAUAUCGGGAAGAAUGCGUUCCAGGGGCGGUUCUCUGAUGCUCUUUCCUUUUAUACUCUCUCUGUCCCACCUUGAUGGUACAUAAUAGUUCACUCCUUUUUGUAUUUAUUAUUUAAUAAAUAAUGAAAUAUAAUAUAUUUUAUUAGAGUAGAAUGAGAUAAUUACUAAUUACAUUAAAAAUAUUAAUAGAAAAAUUAUCACAAAUUAAAAUCUAAUUAAUUUUCUUGAUUUAUGUAUAAAGUAAAAAUAG